AAGGAUGUGGCAUUUCAUAAACAACCAGGAUGUUGGCUCAGAAGCAGCCACCAUUUAAAGAGUGCGUAAUAGCUCACUGGUCGAGAGACGCUGCGCCGAAAAUGUCCGGGGCUCAAGCACGGAACCGAAGCUAUGGCAUGAUAGCAAUAUCAUGGGUAGGGGAGCGUUCUUAUAAGGAAGAAGCAUGACCGGAAGGACAUGUGGACAAAUAAGAAGUGAGAAUGCCGGUAUGAGUAUCGAAAAGAAAGGUGAGAAUCCUUUCCACCGAAAGCCCGAGGGUUCCUGAGCAACGAUCGUCGACUCAGGGUAAGUCGGGACCUAAGCCGAGGCGGAAAGCGUAGGCGAUGGACAACAGGUUGAAAUUCCUGUACCGGAUCAAGUCGAUUGAGCGAAGGAGCGACGCAGGAGGGCACAUGAUCGCGCGGCUGGAAGAGCGCGUCCAAGUGCGUAUGUUGCAGCAGAGGAAAACCCCUGCGGCUGAAAGCAGAGACAUGAUGGGGAGUUAAAGGAAACUUUGACGAACUCAUGAAUCCCACACUGCCAAGAAAAACUUCUAGCGAGACAAGAUCCGCCCGUACCGUAAACCGACACAGGUAGGCGGGGAGAGAAUCCUAAGGUGCGCGGGAAAACCCUCGUUAAGGAACUCGGCAAAUUGCAUCCGUAACCUAGGGAGAAGGAUGGCCCCCGGUCAGUGAAGAGCAGAAACGCUCAGAGCUAAAAGGGGCGGCAGAAAAGAGGCCCAAGCAACUGUUUACCAAAAACACAGGUGCCUGCGAAAGCGAAAGCUGAAGUAUAGGUGCUGACGCCUGCCCGGUGCCGGAAGGUUAAGGAGAGAAGUUAGCGAAAGCGAAGCAUCGAACUGAAGCCCCGGUGAACGGCGGCCGUAACUAUAACGGUCCUAAGGUAGCGAAAUUCCUUGUCGGGUAAGUUCCGACCCGCAUGAAAGGCGUAAUGAUUUGGGCACUGUCUCAACGAGGGGCCCGGUGAAAUUGAAAUACCUGUGAAGAUGCAGGUUACCCGCGACUGGACAGAAAGACCCCAUGGAGCUUCACUGCAGCUUGAGAUUGAAUCCCGGUGACAGAUGCACAGGAUAGGUGGGAGGCGCCGAAGCAUUGCCCUAGGGCGGUGCGGAGCCGAUGUUGGGAUACCACCCUUCUGUUGCUGAGAUUCUAACGCGAGGAGUAACGACCCUGCGGACCCUCUCAGGCAGGCGGUUUGACUGGGGCGGUCGCCUCCGAAAGAGUAACGGAGGCGCCCAAAGGUUCCCUCAGGCCGGACAGAAACCGGCCGAAGAGUGCAAAGGCAGAAGGGAGCUUGACUGCGAGACCAACAAGUCGAGCAGAGACGAAAGUCGGGCUUAGUGAUCCGGUGGUACUGAGUGGAAAGGCCAUCGCUCAACGGAUAAAAGCUACCCUGGGGAUAACAGGCUAAUCUCUCCCAAGAGUUCAUAUCGACGGGGAGGUUUGGCACCUCGAUGUCGGCUCAUCACAUCCUGGGGCUGGAGUAGGUCCCAAGGGUUGGGCUGUUCGCCCAUUAAAGUGGUACGCGAGCUGGGUUCAAAACGUCGUGAGACAGUUUGGUUCAUAUCCAUCGCGGGCGCAAGAAGUUUGAGAGGAGCUGCUCCUAGUACGAGAGGACCGGAGUGGACGGAUCAACGGUGUCCCAGUUGUCACGCCAGUGGCACGGCUGGAAAGCCGCAUCCGGGAAGGAUAAACGCUGAAAGCAUCUAAGCGUGAAGCCAACCUCAAGAUGAGACUUCUCAUCAGCAAUGAGUAAGACCCCUUACAGACGAUGAGGUAGAUAGGUUAUGAGUGGAAGAGCCGCAAGGCUUGGAGCGACAUAAAACUAAUAGGUCGAGGUCUUAACUUA
RNAcentral lists this ribosomal RNA (1869 nucleotides) under gut metagenome. Its description in RNAcentral is "bacterial LSU rRNA". It matches the Rfam family "Bacterial large subunit ribosomal RNA", at positions 1069 to 2925 of the family's 2925-position model. The record is from RNAcentral.